RNAcentral lists this ribosomal RNA (498 nucleotides) under uncultured bacterium. Its description in RNAcentral is "partial 16S ribosomal RNA". It matches the Rfam family "Bacterial small subunit ribosomal RNA", at positions 30 to 523 of the family's 1533-position model. The record is from RNAcentral.
AUUGAACGCUGGCGGCAUGCCUUACACAUGCAAGUCGAACGGUAACAGGUCUUCGGAUGCUGACGAGUGGCGAACGGGUGAGUAAUACAUCGGAACGUGCCUAGUAGUGGGGGAUAACUACUCGAAAGAGUGGCUAAUACCGCAUGAGAUCUACGGAUGAAAGCAGGGGAUCGCAAGACCUUGUGCUACUAGAGCGGCCGAUGGCAGAUUAGGUAGUUGGUGGGAUAAAAGCUUACCAAGCCGACGAUCUGUAGCUGGUCUGAGAGGACGAUCAGCCACACUGGGGCUGAGACACGGCCCAGACUGCUACGGGAGGCAGCAGUGGGGAAUUUUGGACAAUGGGCGAAAGCCUGAUCCAGCAAUGCCGCGUGCAGGAUGAAGGCCUUCGGGUUGUAAACUGCUUUUGUACGGAACGAAAAGCCCCGAGUUAAUACCCUGGGGUCAUGACGGUACCGUAAGAAUAAGCACCGGCUAACUACGUGCCAGCCGCCGCAGUAA